GUUUCAUCCCUGCCCGGGGUUUGCUGAGCGCGCAUCUGUGGGGCCUUAUCACCUUCCCUGGCGCUCACCGCCUGAGCUGAGAGGCCUGGCCUCGUGUGAGGAGACUAGCAGAAUCUCGUUACUGCCACCACCAUUCUCUCACACAAUUUUUUAUCGCUGUAAUUCCGACCGGACUUCCUGAUCCAAGAUGUGCGUCUUCCAGCAGGCCCACUGAGGUCCACAGUGAUUGGUGCUAAAUGGCAUGGAUUAAAGCACCCCACAGAUACCAUUUACUCUGGCUGGAUCAGAGGAGCAGGCCUGACUUACAAGCCUUGUCCACUUAUGCUCACUUGUUACUGUACUUAACGGAGGGACCUAGAGAAAAGGUAAGAUAGAAGAUGUCAACUAAAG
This is a long non-coding RNA of Leopardus geoffroyi (Geoffroy's cat), 390 nucleotides long. RefSeq lists it as uncharacterized. The record is from RefSeq and is a predicted model, not a curated record. NCBI's taxonomy places the organism in Eukaryota, Metazoa, Chordata, Mammalia, Carnivora, Felidae. The transcript is spliced from 3 exons.